UCACUCUCAAAUGAAAAGUGUUCAAGUGCAUUCAAAGUGAAGCUGAAAAAAUAACCAGUUAAAAAUAGUACAAAGAAAUUUUCUUUCUUGCAAUUUGCAAGCAGUAGCUACAACCAAAAAUGGAAAAGUGUAAAAAUCGUGUCCCAGCAGACGAGCAGCAGCAGUACGAGUAUUGCAAAAUGCAGGGGCAAGGGCCCACGUAGUAUUUUUCCACGUCGGGCAUUUAAUGCUCUCGAGUUGGAAACAAUGAAACCAUACGCAAACCCCCUGGAAAAGAUGUGAUUAGUCAUCGAUUUUGCUGGUCAGCGUCGGGGAAUUUCGCAAUGCAGCAGGCAGUUUUCUCAAAUUUGGCUAGAAAGUGACCCACUAGGCAGUCUGAGGCAGUUAUCCAGGAUGUAAGGAUGUGUGCAGUACUCUCUGUGUCGAAUGGCGAUGGCCCUGACCUGCGGAUUUUGAAAGAUUGAAAUAGGAAGCCAGGUAUACAUACACAGCAACGAAUGCAGCGUGUUCUAUAUUCUUAAUUCGUAAGCCAAACCUAUGUUUAAGACGUAGUUUAUAUAACCGUACAUAUGUAUGUAGCGAAACACGUUUUCAAACGUCGCAUCGAAGCCAUUUCUUCUGCAGCCAUUGCAAUUUCAUCGUGUUGCGUAAUCGCAAAUUGUAAAUGUGUCCCUACUACUUCACAUUUGUGUGUAUCCAAGUCGAAAGUUCUCGAACUAUUCUCGUGAGCAACCCCCGGAUCGAAAGGCCACCAACUGGCUCGUUCUCUCUCUCCAGAAACAGCUUACUCUUACGUUUACAAUUGACUCUCUACCUAUCGGGUAUACACAUUUUUAUAUAUGUAUACACUCAGAGACACCCCAAUCCCCCACCAUACAUAUGGCGAGAUGUGUGAAUGUAUCGCAGUUGGACGAAAACGGCAGCUGCGCAGAAAACGCUGCGGCGUACAUACAAACGAGCUCUUUGUUUGCCUUUCCCCAGUUUUGCUUCCCCAUACGUAUAACUGGUGUUUAUCAGCGGUAAUCUCGCCAGCCUGACUUUGUCCCUGUCGCUUCUAUUGACAUUCUAAACUAGAUUGUAGACGUUUUAACAUUUACCUAGCUGUUAAUCUUAUUUGUAAACAUCUCUAUAUGCAACCUGCCAUACCACUUAACCAAGCAAUAUGUAUUUCUUUCUCUAAACUUUAUAGUUGGGCGUUGAAAGUUGAUAUCGAUAUCGAUCCGUGAAAAGUCGAUACCCUGCGCAAGCAUGGGGCGGCAUAUGGGUGCUGAAAACGCACUCGGCCCGAUCCCGAUUGCAGCGUUAUUCGAAAGCUGUGUCUGCGACCGUGACUGAGAUCAUAUGCGUACAUAUAUCUAAUGUCCGGGGUCGUAGGCCAGCCAGGGUGCUCGAUUCUGUCAGAUUGAUUGUGCGGAUUGUGUUAUAGGAACACUGGUGUAUCGACUUCUCUGCUCCACUAUGGGUGAAGGAUACCCUACCGAAAAGGCCUUCUGUCGCUUACUAUCAUCGAACAAGUUCCGUAAAGGGCAGACAUACGUACACGUGGCAGCAUAUUACGUUCAAUGACACAUCGUCUCUGGAUUAGUAGUUGAACCAACGAGCUCGAAUAUACCCUGCCAGUUGGUUGUAAAUAUUAAUUUUGUUCUUAUAUUCAGUUGUAAAGUCAAUACGGAAGACAUUUCCACACCAACCAUGUGUCACUUAUGUUCUUAAAUACCAGAAACUGUUUAAAUUUUUGUUCUUAUACACUUCACCAAUUAAGAAUUACCUGUACUGAUGUAAGUGUACCUGUUGAAUCACAACAAAAAUAGAAAAAAUGAAUAACAAAAGAGCUCUAUAACAGAAAAGCCACAGAAAAAGUGAAUAAAAAUUCAAAAAUUCAAAAAAUAAAUUUCGAAACAUUUGCUCGUGAUAUUUUUAUUUCAAGAAAAGAUCCGAUUUCAGUUAUACCAUCUAGCUUAAAUUUAGCGUUACGAGAAUAGUCCCUCGGAGGAAAGGCCCUUUAUCAAGAUGCCAAUAUCGUUCGUCCUAUACACAAAUUACUCACGUUAUGAAACCAAGUCGAAAAAUCGGACAAAGUGUCUACAAUUGAGGAAAGGUCUAUUGAUCUCCUGUGAGCGCAAAAAGUUUGUAUUCGAACGAGAAUUUUAAGGUUUAAAAUCAGCUGAAAAGUACGUAUAUUCCGCAUUUAUUUUUCUCCACAUUUUUAGGAUCAGAACAUCAGAACUAUAUUUUUUUGGAAAAAUCAACGGAUAUUAUUUUGUUUGGAGGUCCCAAAUUCUAUACACCUUCACACAUAUUUUUGCAUACAAAAAAACCUAAAAAUAAUAUUAUUGAAUGGCAAAAAAAACCAUUUAUAACAUGAAAAUUACUCGAAGUACUUCAAUUUAAUUACCGAACCAAAAUAUAUACACGUACGACUCGUGUUGGACGAGAUUACAUUAAGAGAACUUUGAAAAAUAAUAAAAAAAGGUUUGAAAUUGAAAACUGUAAAGUAUAAUAUUCGUAAUAAGGAAUUUAUAAAGAUAAAUAACCACAACAAAAUGAACCACAAUAAUAUGAAACCAUGAACAAUAGGUAUGAUUUAUGUCGAUUAGCCUCUUGGUAAAAUAAACUUAAAAUCCAUAUAGGUGUGUGUUAUAAAACUGCCCCAAUUCAAAAUUGCGUCUCGUAAUAAACCAAAAGUACAUCGUACAACUGCAACAUGACCCGCAAUUAUUUGAACUCUUUAACAAUAGGUUUCAUUUACUCCGAUUACCCCAAUCACAAUCUUUCGAAAAGGCUUAGCCUCUUGGUAAAAUACCCUUAAAAUCCAUAUAAGUAGGGUGUGAUAUAAAACUAUCCCAAUUCAAAAUCGCGUCACAUAAUAAACAACAAAUUAAAGCAUCUUAAAGGGUCUAAUUUUUAGGACAUAUUAAUUUACUUAAUAGGUAGGAAUUGAACAUACGGUAUUUUUAUAUGGUAUAUCUUAACAACUGCAACAUGACCCACACUUUUAUGAACUCUUUAAUAAUGGUUAUUAUAAAACCCGAUUACCUUAAUCAUUAUCCUUCGAAAAGGACAUGCAACAUGACCCACACUUUUAUGAACUCUUUAAUAAUGGUUUUGAUAAAACCCGAUUACCUUAAUCAUCAUCCUUCGAAACGGCUUAUCCUCUUGGUAAAAUACACUUAAAAUCCAUAUAGGUAGGGUGUGAUAUAAAACGUUCCCAAUUCAAAAUCGCGUCACAUAAUAAACAAAAAGUUAAAGCAUCUUAAAAGGACUGAUAUAUAGGACAUAUUAAUUUACUUAAUAGGUAGGAAUUGAACAUACGGUAUUUUUAUAUGGUAUAUCUUAACAACUGCAACAUGACCCACACUUUUAUGAACUCUUUAAUAAUGGUUAUUAUAAAACCCGAUUACCUUAAUCAUUAUCCUUCGAAAAGGCUUAUCCUCUUGGUAAAAUACACUUAAAAUCCAUAUAGGUAGGGUGUGAUAUAAAACGUUCCCAAUUCAAAAUCGCGUCACAUAAUAAACAAAGAGUUAAAGCAUCUUAAAAGGACUGAUAUAUAGGACAUAUUAAUUUACUUAAUAGGUAGGAAUUGAACAUACGGUAUUUUUAUAUGGUAUAUCUUAACAACUGCAACAUGACCCACACUUUUAUGAACUCUUUAAUAAUGGUUUUGAUAAAACCCGAUUACCUUAAUCAUCAUCCUUCGAAAACUCUUAUCCUCUUGGUAAAAUACACUUAAAAUCUAUAUAGGUAGGGUGUGAUAUAAAACGUUCCCAAUUUAAAAUCGCGUCACAUAAUAAACAAGAAAUUAAAGCAUCUUAAAGGGUCUAAUUUUUAGGACAUAUUAAUUUACUUAAUAGGUAGGAAUUGAACAUACGGUAUUUUUAUAUGGUAUAUCUUAACAACUGCAACAUGACCCACACUUUUAUGAACUCUUUAAUAAUGGUUUUGAUAAAACCCGAUUACCUUAAUCAUUAUCCUUCGAAAAGGCUUAUCCUCUUGGUAAAAUACACUUAAAAUCCAUAUAGGUAGGGUGUGAUAUAAAACGUUCCCAAUUCAAAAUCGCGUCACAUAAUAAACAAAGAGUUAAAGCAUCUUAAAAGGACUGAUAUAUAGGACAUAUUAAUUUACUUAAUAGGUAGGAAUUGAACACACGCUAUUUUUAUAUGGUAUAUCUUAACAACAGCAACAUGACCCACACUUUUAUGAACUCUUUAAUAAUGGUUUUGAUAAAACCCGAUUACCUUAAUCAUUAUCCUUCGAAAAGGCUUAUCCUCUUGGUAAAAUACACUUAAAAUCCAUAUAGGUAGGGUGUGAUAUAAAACGUUCCCAAUUCAAAAUCGCGUCACAUAAUAAACAAAGAGUUAAAGCAUCUUAAAAGGACUGAUAUAUAGGACAUAUUAAUUUACUUAAUAGGUAGGAAUUGAACAUACGGUAUUUUUAUAUGGUAUAUCUUAACAACUGCAACAUGACCCACACUUAUGAACUCUUUAAUAAUGGUUAUUAUAAAACCCGAUUACCUUAAUCAUUAUCCUUCGAAAAGGCUUAUCCUCUUGGUAAAAUACACUUAAAAUCUAUAUAGGUAGGGUGUGAUAUAAAACGUUCCCAAUUCAAAAUCGCGUCACAUAAUAAACAAAGAGUUAAAGCAUCUUAAAAGGACUGAUAUAUAGGACAUAUUAAUUUACUUAAUAGGUAGGAAUUGAACAUACGGUAUUUUUAUAUGGUAUAUCUUAACAACUGCAACAUGACCCACACUUUUAUGAACUCUUUAAUAAUGGUUUUGAUAAAACCCGAUUACCUUAAUCAUUAUCCUUCGAAAAGGCUUAUCCUCUUGGUAAAAUACACUUAAAAUCCAUAUAGGUAGGGUGUGAUAUAAAACGUUCCCAAUUCAAAAUCGCGUCACAUAAUAAACAAAGAGUUAAAGCAUCUUAAAAGGACUGAUAUAUAGGACAUAUUAAUUUACUUAAUAGGUAGGAAUUGAACACACGCUAUUUUUAUAUGGUAUAUCUUAACAACUGCAACAUGACCCACACUUUUAUGAACUCUUUAAUAAUGGUUAUGAUAAAACCCGAUUACCUUAAUCAUUAUCCUUCGAAAAGGCUUAUCCUCUUGGUAAAAUACACUUAAAAUCCAUAUAGGUAGGGUGUGAUAUAAAACGUUCCCAAUUCAAAAUCGCGUCGCAUAAUAAACAAAAAGUUAAAGCAUCUUAAAAGGACUGAUAUAUAGGACAUAUGAAUUUACUUAAUAGGUAGGAAUUGAACAUACGGUAUUUUUAUAUGGUAUAUCUUAACAACUGCAACAUGACCCACACUUUUAUGAACUCUUUAAUAAUGGUUAUGAUAAAACCCGAUUACCUUAAUCAUUAUCCUUCGAAAAGGCUUAUCCUCUUGGUAAAAUACACUUAAAAUCCAUAUAGGUAGGGUGUGAUAUAAAACGUUCCCAAUUCAAAAUCGCGUCACAUAAUAAACAAAGAGUUAAAGCAUCUUAAAAGGACUGAUAUAUAGGACAUAUUAAUUUACUUAAUAGGUAGGAAUUGAACACACGGUAUUUUUAUAUGGUAUAUCUUAACAACUGCGACAUGACCCACAAUUUUAUGAACUUAACAAUAGGUUUUAUUUAUCCCGAUUACCCCAAUCACUAUCCUUCGAAAAGGCUUAUCCUCUUGGUAAAAUACACUUAAAAUCCAUAUAGGUAGGGUGUGAUAUAAAACGUUCCCAAUUCAAAAUCGCGUCACAUAAUAAACAAGAAAUUAAAGCAUCUUAAAGGGUCUAAUUUUUAGGACAUAUUAAUUUACUUAAUAGGUAGGCAUUGAACAUACGGUAUUUUUAUAUGGUAUAUCUUAACAACUGCAACAUGACCCACACUUUUAUGAACUCUUUAAUAAUGGUUAUUAUAAAACCCGAUUACCUUAAUCAUUAUCCUUCGAAAAGGACAUGCAACAUGACCCACACUUUUAUGAACUCUUUAAUAAUGGUUUUGAUAAAACCCGAUUACCUUAAUCAUUAUCCUUCGAAAAGGCUUAUCCUCUUGGUAAAAUACACUUAAAAUCCAUAUAGGUAGGGUGUGAUAUAAAACGUUCCCAAUUCAAAACCGCGUCACAUAAUAAACAAAAAGUUAAAGCAUCUUAAAAGGACUGAUUUAUAGGACAUAUUAAUUUACUUAAUAGGUAGGAAUUGAACAUACGGUAUUUUUAUAUGGUAUAUCUUAACAACUGCGACAUGACCCACAAUUUUAUGAACUUAACAAUAGGUUUUAUUUAUCCCGAUUACCCCAAUCAUUAUCCUUCGAAAAGGCUUAUCCUCUUGGUAAAAUACACUUAAAAUCCAUAUAGGUAGGGUGUGAUAUAAAACAUUCCCAAUUCAAAAUCGCGUCUCGUAAUAAACAAGAAAUUAAAGCAUCUUAAAGGGUCUAAUUUUUAGGACAUACUAAUUUACUUAAUAGGUAGGCAUUUAACAUACGGUAUUUUUAUAUGGUUUAUCUUAACAACUGCAACAUGACCCACAAUUUUAUGAACUCUUUACCAAUAGGUUUUAUUUAUCCCGAUUACCCCAAUCACUAUCCUUCGAAAAGGCUUAUCCUCUUGGUAAAAUACCCUUAAAAUCCAUAUAAGUAGGGUGUGAUAUAAAACUAUCCCAAUUCAAAAUCGCGUCACAUAAUAAACAAGAAAUUAAAGCAUCUUAAAGGGUCUAAUUUUUAGGACAUAUUAAUUUACUUAAUAGGUAGGCAUUGAACAUACGGUAUUUUUAUAUGGUAUAUCUUAACAACUGCAACAUGACCCACAACUUUAUGAACUCUUUACCAAUAGGUUUUAUUUAUCCCGAUUACCCCAAUCACUAUCCUUCGAAAAGGCUUAUCCUCUUGGUAAAAUACACUUAAAAUCCAUAUAGGUAGGGUGUGAUAUAAAACUAUCCCAAAUCAAAAUCGCGUCACAUAAUAAACAAGAAAUUAAAGCAUCUUAAAGGGUCUAAUUUUUAGGACAUAAAUUUACGUAAUAGGUAGGAAUUGAACACACGGUAUUUUUAUAUGGUAUAUCUUAACAACUGCAACAUGACCCACAACUUUAUGAACUCUUUACCAAUAGGUUUUAUUUAUCCCGAUUACCCCAAUCACUAUCCUUCGAAAAGGCUUAUCCUCUUGGUAAAAUACCCUUAAAAUCCAUAUAGGUAGGGUGUGAUAUAUAACUAUCCCAAAUCAAAAUCGCGUCACAUAAUAAACAAGAAAUUAAAGCAUCUUAAAGGGUCUAAUUUUUAGGACAUAUUAAUUUACUUAAUAGGUAGGAAUUGAACACACGGUAUUUUUAUAUGGCAUAUCUUAACAACUGCAACAUGACCCACACUUUUAUGAACUCUUUAAUAAUGGUUAUGAUAAAACCCGAUUACCUUAAUCAUUAUCCUUCGAAAAGGCUUAUCCUCUUGGUAAAAUACACUUAAAAUCCAUAUAGGUAAGGUGUGAUAUAAAUCGUUCCCAAUUCAAAAUCGCGUCACAUAAUAAACAAAAAGUUAAAGCAUCUUAAAAGGACUGAUUUUUAGGACAUAUUAAUUUACUUAAUAGGUAGGCAUUGAACAUACGGUAUUUUUAUAUGGUAUAUCUUAACAACUGCAACAUGACCCACACUUUUAUGAACUCUUUAAUAAUGGUUAUUAUAAAACCCGAUUACCUUAAUCAUUAUCCUUCGAAAAGGACAUGCAACAUGACCCACACUUUUAUGAACUCUUUAAUAAUGGUUUUGAUAAAACCCGAUUACCUUAAUCAUUAUCCUUCGAAAAGGCUUAUCCUCUUGGUAAAAUACACUUAAAAUCCAUAUAGGUAGGGUGUGAUAUAAAACAUUCCCAAUUCAAAAUCGCGUCUCGUAAUAAACAAGAAAUUAAAGCAUCUUAAAGGGUCUAAUUUUUAGGACAUACUAAUUUACUUAAUAGGUAGGCAUUUAACAUACGGUAUUUUUAUAUGGUUUAUCUUAACAACUGCAACAUGACCCACAAUUUUAUGAACUAUUUACCAAUAGGUUUUAUUUAUCCCGAUUACCCCAAUCACUAUCCUUCGAAAAGGCUUAUCCUCUUGGUAAAAUACCCUUAAAAUCCAUAUAAGUAGGGUGUGAUAUAAAACUAUCCCAAUUCAAAAUCGCGUCACAUAAUAAACAAGAAAUUAAAGCAUCUUAAAGGGUCUAAUUUUUAGGACAUAUUAAUUUACUUAAUAGGUAGGCAUUGAACAUACGGUAUUUUUAUAUGGUAUAUCUUAACAACUGCAACAUGACCCACAACUUUAUGAACUCUUUACCAAUAGGUUUUAUUUAUCCCGAUUACCCCAAUCACUAUCCUUCGAAAAGGCUUAUCCUCUUGGUAAAAUACCCUUAAAAUCCAUAUAAGUAGGGUGUGAUAUAAAACUAUCCCAAUUCAAAAUCGCGUCACAUAAUAAACAAGAAAUUAAAGCAUCUUAAAGGGUCUAAUUUUUAGGACAUAUUAAUUUACUUAAUAGGUAGGCAUUGAACAUACGGUAUUUUUAUAUGGUAUAUCUUAACAACUGCAACAUGACCCACAACUUUAUGAACUCUUUACCAAUAGGUUUUAUUUAUCCCGAUUACCCCAAUCACUAUCCUUCGAAAAGGCUUAUCCUCUUGGUAAAAUACACUUAAAAUCCAUAUAGGUAGGGUGUGAUAUAAAACUAUCCCAAAUCAAAAUCGCGUCACAUAAUAAACAAGAAAUUAAAGCAUCUUAAAGGGUCUAAUUUUUAGGACAUAAAUUUACGUAAUAGGUAGGAAUUGAACACACGGUAUUUUUAUAUGGUAUAUCUUAACAACUGCAACAUGACCCACAACUUUAUGAACUCUUUACCAAUAGGUUUUAUUUAUCCCGAUUACCCCAAUCACUAUCCUUCGAAAAGGCUUAUCCUCUUGGUAAAAUACCCUUAAAAUCCAUAUAGGUAGGGUGUGAUAUAUAACUAUCCCAAAUCAAAAUCGCGUCACAUAAUAAACAAGAAAUUAAAGCAUCUUAAAGGGUCUAAUUUUUAGGACAUAUUAAUUUACUUAAUAGGUAGGAAUUGAACACACGGUAUUUUUAUAUGGCAUAUCUUAACAACUGCAACAUGACCCACACUUUUAUGAACUCUUUAAUAAUGGUUAUGAUAAAACCCGAUUACCUUAAUCAUUAUCCUUCGAAAAGGCUUAUCCUCUUGGUAAAAUACACUUAAAAUCCAUAUAGGUAGGGUGUGAUAUAAAUCGUUCCCAAUUCAAAAUCGCGUCACAUAAUAAACAAAAAGUUAAAGCAUCUUAAAAGGACUGAUUUUUAGGACAUAUUAAUUUACUUAAUAGGUAGGAAUUGAACACACGGUAUUUUUAUAUGGCAUAUCUUAACAACUGCAACAUGACCCACAAUUUUAUGAACUCUUUAAUAAUGGUUAUGAUAAAACCCGAUUACCUUAAUCAUUAUCCUUCGAAAAGGCUUAUCCUCUUGGUAAAAUACACUUAAAAUCCAUAUAGGUAGGGUGUGAUAUAAAUCGUUCCCAAUUCAAAAUCGCGUCACAUAAUAAACAAAAAGUUAAAGCAUCUUAAAAGGACUGAUUUUUAGGACAUAUUAAUUUACUUAAUAGGUAGGAAUUGAACACACGGUAUUUUUAUAUGGCAUAUCUUAACAACUGCAACAUGACCCACAAUUUUAUGAACUCUUUAAUAAUGGUUAUGAUAAAACCCGAUUACCUUAAUCAUUAUCCUUCGAAAAGGCUUAUCCUCUUGGUAAAAUACACUUAAAAUCCAUAUAGGAAGGGGGUGAUAUAAAACUAUCCCAAUUCAAAAUCGCGUCACAUAAUAAACAAAAAGUUAAAGCAUCUUAAAAGGACUGAUUUUUAGGACAUAUUAAUUUACUUAAUAGGUAGGAAUUGAACACACGGUAUUUUUAUAUGGCAUAUCUUAACAACUGCAACAUGACCCACAAUUUUAUGAACUCUUUAAUAAUGGUUAUGAUAAAACCCAAUUACCUUAAUCAUUAUCCUUCGAAAACUCUUAUCCUCUUGGUAAAAUACACUUAAAAUCUAUAUAGGUAGGGUGUGAUAUAAAACGUUCCCAAUUUAAAAUCGCGUCACAUAAUAAACAAAAAGUUAAAGCAUCUUAAAAGGACUGAUUUUUAGGACAUAUUAAUUUACUUAAUAGGUAGGAAUUGAACACACGGUAUUUUUAUAUGGCAUAUCUUAACAACUGCAACAUGACCCACACUUUUAUGAACUCUUUAAUAAUGGUUAUGAUAAAACCCGAUUACCUUAAUCAUUAUCAUUCGAAAAGGCUUAUCCUCUUGGUAAAAUACACUUAAAAUCCAUAUAGGUAGGGUGUGAUAUAAAACGUUCCCAAUUCAAAAUCGCGUCACAUAAUAAACAAAGAGUUAAAGUAUCUUAAAAGGACUGAUUUAUAGGACAUAUUAAUUUACUUAAUAGGUAGGAAUUGAACACACGGUAUUUUUAUAUGGCAUAUCUUAACAACUGCAACAUGACCCACACUUUUAUGAACUCUUUAAUAAUGGUUAUGAUAAAACCCGAUUACCUUAAUCAUUAUCCUUCGAAAAGGCUUAUCCUCUUGGUAAAAUACACUUAAAAUCCAUAUAGGUAGGGUGUGAUAUAAAACUAUCCCAAUUCAAAAUCGCGUCACAUAAUUAACAAAAAGUUAAAGCAUCUUAAAAGGACUGAUUUUUAGGACAUAUUAAUUUACUUAAUAGGUAGGAAUUGAACACACGGUAUUUUUAUAUGGCAUAUCUUAACAACUGCAACAUGACCCACAACUUUAUGAACUCUUUACCAAUAGGUUUUAUUUAUCCCGAUUACCCCAAUCACUAUCCUUCGAAAAGGCUUAUCCUCUUGGUAAAAUACCCUUAAAAUCCAUAUAGGUAGGGUGUGAUAUAUAACUAUCCCAAAUCAAAAUCGCGUCACAUAAUAAACAAGAAAUUAAAGCAUCUUAAAGGGUCUAAUUUUUAGGACAUAUUAAUUUACUUAAUAGGUAGGAAUUGAACACACGGUAUUUUUAUAUGGCAUAUCUUAACAACUGCAACAUUACCCACAAUUUUAUGAACUCUUUAAUAAUGGUUAUGAUAAAACCCGAUUACCUUAAUCAUUAUCCUUCGAAAAGGCUUAUCCUCUUGGUAAAAUACACUUAAAAUCCAUAUAGGUAGGGUGUGAUAUAAAUCGUUCCCAAUUCAAAAUCGCGUCACAUUAUAAACAAAAAGUUAAAGCAUCUUAAAAGGACUGAUUUUUAGGACAUAUUAAUUUACUUAAUAGGUAGGAAUUGAACACACGGUAUUUUUAUAUGGCAUAUCUUAACAACUGCAACAUGACCCACAAUUUUAUGAACUCUUUAAUAAUGGUUAUGAUAAAACCCGAUUACCUUAAUCAUUAUCCUUCGAAAAGGCUUAUCCUCUUGGUAAAAUACACUUAAAAUCCAUAUAGGUAGGGUGUGAUAUAAAUCGUUCCCAAUUCAAAAUCGCGUCACAUUAUAAACAAAAAGUUAAAGCAUCUUAAAAGGACUGAUUUUUAGGACAUAUUAAUUUACUUAAUAGGUAGGAAUUGAACACACGGUAUUUUUAUAUGGCAUAUCUUAACAACUGCAACAUGACCCACAAUUUUAUGAACUCUUUAAUAAUGGUUAUGAUAAAACCCGAUUACCUUAAUCAUUAUCCUUCGAAAAGGCUUAUCCUCUUGGUAAAAUACACUUAAAAUCCAUAUAGGUAGGGUGUGAUAUAAAACGUUCCCAAUUCAAAAUCGCGUCACAUAAUAAACAAAGAGUUAAAGUAUCUUAAAAGGACUGAUUUAUAGGACAUAUUAAUUUACUUAAUAGGUAGGAAUUGAACACACGUUAUUUUUAUAUGGUAUAUCUUAACAACUGCAAACAUGCCCCACAAUUUUAUGAACUCUUUAAUAAUGGUUAUGAUAAAACCCGAUUACCUUAAUCAUUAUCCUUCGAAAAGGCUUAUCCUCUUGGUAAAAUACACUUAAAAUCUAUAUAGGUAGGGUGUGAUAUAAAACGUUCCCAAUUUAAAAUCGCGUCACAUAAUAAACAAGAAAUUAAAGCAUCUUAAAGGGUCUAAUUUUUAGGAUAUAUUAAUUUACUUAAUAGGUAGGAAUUGAACACACGGUAUUUUUAUAUGGCAUAUCUUAACAACUGCAACAUGACCCACACUUUUAUGAACUCUUUAAUAAUGGUUAUGAUAAAACCCGAUUACCUUAAUCAUUAUCCUUCGAAAAGGCUUAUCCUCUUGGUAAAAUACACUUAAAAUCCAUAUAGGUAGGGUGUGAUAUAAAACUAUCCCAAUUCAAAAUCGCGUCACAUAAUAAACAAAAAGUUAAAGCAUCUUAAAAGGACUGAUUUUUAGGACAUAUUAAUUUACUUAAUAGGUAGGAAUUGAACACACGGUAUUUUUAUAUGGCAUAUCUUAACAACUGCAACAUGACCCACACUUUUAUGAACUCUUUAAUAAUGGUUAUGAUAAAACCCGAUUACCUUAAUCAUUAUCCUUCGAAAAGGCUUAUCCUCUUGGUAAAAUACACUUAAAAUCCAUAUAGGUAGGGUGUGAUAUAAAACUAUCCCAAUUCAAAAUCGCGUCACAUAAUUAACAAAAAGUUAAAGCAUCUUAAAAGGACUGAUUUUUAGGACAUAUUAAUUUACUUAAUAGGUAGGAAUUGAACACACGGUAUUUUUAUAUGGCAUAUCUUAACAACUGCAACAUGACCCACAAUUAUAUGAACUCUUUAAUAAUGGUUAUGAUAAAACCCAAUUACCUUAAUCAUUAUCCUUCGAAAACUCUUAUCCUCUUGGUAAAAUACACUUAAAAUCUAUAUAGGUAGGGUGUGAUAUAAAACGUUCCCAAUUUAAAAUCGCGUCACAUAAUAAACAAGAAAUUAAAGCAUCUUAAAGGGUCUAAUUUUUAGGAUAUAUUAAUUUACUUAAUAGGUAGGAAUUGAACAUACGGUAUUUUUAUAUGGUAUAUCUAAACAACUGCAACAUGACCCACAAUUUUAUGAACUCUUGAAUAAUGGUUAUGAUAAAACCCGAUUACCUUAAUCAUUAUCCUUCGAAAAGGCUUAUCCUCUUGGUAAAAUACACUUAAAAUCCAUAUAGGUAGGGUGUGAUAUAAAAAUAUCCCAAUUCAAAAUCGCGUCACAUAAUAAACAAGAAAUCAAAUCAUCUAAAAGGUCUAAUUUUUAGGAUAUAUUAAUUUACUUAAUAGGUAGGCAUUAAACAUACGGUAUUUUUAUAUGGUAUAUCUUAACAACUGCAACAUGACCCACAAUUUUAUGAACUCUAUAACAAUAGGUUUUAUUUAUCCCGAUUACCCCAAUCACUAUCCUUCGAAAAUAAAUUUUAAAAUAAAUAAAAAUAAACUUUAAAUCCAUAUAGGUUGGGUGUAUUACACAAGGGUCUCAAUUUAAAAUCGCGUCUCAUAAUAAACAAAACAUAAAGCAACUUAAAAGGUGUGAUUUUUGAGACAUGCUAAUUUAAUAUCCGUCGAAAAGGAAUAUGCUCUUGGUCAAAUAAACUUUCCAAUUCAAAUGUCCGUAACCUAUGAUUUAAGAUAAUAUCCUACUUACAUCCUACACUUACAUUAUUUUUUUUUUUUUGUGUUAUUUUAUAUCAACCACAAUAAUACAAGCCCCUCAAUUAUAUGUAUGAUAUAUUUCGAUUACCCCAAACCAAAAAGUAAAACUAGAUUUGGAUUAGGAUUUUAAAAGAAUGACAACAUAUAAUGUAGGACUCUGAGAUUAACAGCAUAUCUUUGUGCAUUUUAUGUUGUAAUUUGAAAUUGUUUUUGUUUUACUUCUUAUUUGUAUAAUUUAUUCAUUUAUGCGACCUCAAUUUUGAGUUCUAGUAUUUUUGUGUUUAUAAUGUGUUUGUGUGGAUUGAGUCAAAAAUGAUUAAUGUCGCAUUCAUUUGUAAAGGAAUAGUUGCUUGGAAAUAAAAAAAACACGAAAACUAAUAACGUAAUAUACCCUAUUACCCUGGUAAUUAUUUUGAAAAUUCAAUAGAAAAUUUGAAAAGAAAAUUACCGAAAUGAACAAGGGAAAACAGUUUAAAAUUAACAAUUUACUGAACAAGUUUAAACUAAAGAAAUCCGCCCGCAUUCAAGCUUGGAUACGUAAUUAUUACAAAAAUAAGCUGAACGAAAAUAACAAAAGGAUUCACUUAAAACUAUUGAACCAAAAAUGGCUUUAACAAUUAAAGUUAGACGCAACAAGUUAUAAAACAGGAAUUGUAUGAAAUCACGAAACUUAAAAAAAUUAAUAUUAAUUGAUGAUCCACAAUAAUUAUCCACAAUAACCAUCAUUUUUGAAAAGGCAGGGUGCCCGGGUCUUUUACGGUCGUUUUAUAAAAACCAAGGGAAUUAUUCAUUGCAUUCCUUAAGCAUGAUAUUGAAGUUAUAGCUACUACUGUCAUAUUACACUUAAAAACCAAAAAAGCUUAAACUUGGUAAUGUGUACUCCAAUUCCAUUUAAAUCAACACGAUUCUUAAAACUCCUCAACAUUAUACGGGUUUUUCCCAUUUAACCGAAAUCUUGACUGGCGAAACGUAUAUGUAUAUCCUUACAAAUUAUGAAUGAAAUUAUCAGGAAAUAUUCAUGGCACCUUACGAAUUGCAUGUGCCAAUAAUCUUGACAGAGAAAAUUACAAACAUAAGAUCAUUUACAUUUUUAUGAAUGCACUGGAAGUAUGUAACCUGAAGAGGACCCCAACCGUAUUAACCCUCAAAAUGGAUAAACUACCAAUUUUUGAAUAAAUUCAAUACAAGGUAGAAAAAAAUCUAAGGAAAACCACAAAUUUGUAAACGAUCUAACAAAUGUUUUUAAAAGAAAAUAACGAAGUUCCUGAAAUAUCUUCGAUCAUAAAGCAUAACAGCAGCUGAAAAUAGCGUGCUUAGCUUAUUUACAAUGUUGGAUUAAAUUCUUCUCACAAAGUAUUCUGCAAUAAUCACACGAAUUAUAAACCAAUUAAAAACUCAGCAAUUAAAACACUCUUAUCUAACUCGCCUAAACCCACUCUCUCUGAAAACUAAAUAUAUUCGAACUUAGACGACAAUUUUUUCUUCAUAAAAAACACUUAAAAUGAGUUUCACAUUGGGACAUGAGUCUUCAGACAAAUUAUUGAUGAAUUACCGAUGGCAAUAUAUUCAACAUAAUUAUACCACACUUAUUUUUCGUAAUUUUGUGCAUACUACCUCAAUUUCGUUGAUGUACAAUACAAUGAUUGACGGUCUUGGUAUGAUUUGGAAUGCUUAAAAAGCUUAUGAAGUCACUAUGAAAACUAUUAACAUUUUUCAGUUGUGCAAGAUAUUUUUAGUUCUAUUUAAAAUGCAAAUGGGAAACUUGCUUUUUAAAAAACGGUUGAAGAAUUAAUUUUCAAUGCAAUGGAAUCUUAUCAUCAAAACUGCACUUUGAAUGUUACAAGAAAAGUAAAACAGUAUGAAUAGUAAUGUUAAUGUUCUGUUUUCACUCACAAUAACCGUAAAUGUGGUAUAUCUAACUUAAUGGACAUUUUAUGGUAGUUCGUUUCUGCUCAAAUACUUUUCUCUUUGCACGGCAUUUCUAUCCUAUAACUUCAAACAAAUGACUGCGCAGUAUUAACCAUAUAAAGCCUUAAUAGCAAUAUUUCUGAUUUUUAUAUUGUUCCAAAACCUUAAAAAUUGUAAUAGCAUCUUAUGUGUUACUUCACACACACACACCAUAAUUCCUCUCCACUUGAUAACAAUGUCCCAUCCCAUCGAUACAUUAAAUAGACUUUGGUUCUUCGCUGAAUUUUAUGCAUACAAAAAGUACAUGAAAUAACGCAUUUGUUAAAAUAAUAUAAUAUAUUAUUAUUCUAAAGAUUCCCAACAAAAACAUAAGGAAAUUUAAAAAAAUCCUUAAAUGCACCACUAUAUUGGCCAAGACAAAUCAACACUACGGACAUAACCAAUUUUCUGGCAAACUGCAAGUGCCCUAUAUAAUAAUAUAAAGUAUAUAAUAUGCUAUACUCAAUAAAGCACACUUAUCUUUGCAAAUUUGAGUACUUUACUACACUGCAAACAUUUGCUCUCAUCGUAAAUGAUCUUCCCAACAUAAACAUUAUUAAUAACUCGUCGGGGAAUGGGAGGAGUUGAUAUACAUUUCUGGCAUUACAACCAUUGAUCUAAAUUGAAACAUAUGUCUUAAACGUAUGUAUUAAGUGCACUGAUCCAAAACUAUUGGAUUAUUAUUAGAUAUUGGCUUCUAAAAAUUUGACAAUGAAAAGACUUGGUAAACUUCAAUUUCUAUAAUCCAAAUACAUGGAUUAGAUGUGAUAAUGAUUUGUACCCAUUAAAAGGCUUGUUAUUAUGAAACACUAGAAGACCAAUUUCCGAAUCAUACAAACAAACUAAAUACGUACGCAUUAAUAUUAUGGUAUUCUUUAUUUGAUAACUCUUCACAAUUACAACAUGAACAGCGCCCCUCAAUAUUAGGUACGAUAUAUAUUGAAAUAUAUUGCCUAACUUACGAUAUUUUCUGGAACUUUUAAUACGAGUUAUUUAAAAAACGACAACAUAAAUUAACAAUAAUAUGAGUUUUUUACAAAUAGGUACUAUACAUCUUGAUCCAUAUGGGUAAGGUGUGAUAUUAAACUGUCCAAAUCAAGAUCUCUCCCAUUAUAAACUAAAAUAUAAACCCACAUGAAAGGCAGAAUUUAAAAGGCAUAGGCAUCGAACUAAACGUUAAACUUACGUUAUUUUUUAUAAAUAUAAAAAUAAUAAGUAUAUCAAUAAUAUUUAUUACUUAUCUCGAUUAUUACAAUAAUAUAUUACAAUAAUAUUAUUAUCUUCAAUAAUAUCUACGAUUCAUCAAAAUUUAAAGUAACUUGAAAGGUCGGAUUUUUAAGACAUACUAAUUUAAUUAACAGAUAGGCGAUGAACAUACGGUUUUUUAUAUUGGCAGAUGCAACAUGACCCACAAUUAUAUGAACUCUUCAACAAUAUGUACAUACAUAUGUUUAAUCUCGAUUGCACCAAUCAUCAUCCGUCGAAAAGGGUUAGCCUCUUGGUAAAAUAAACUUUCCAAUUUUAAUUUCCCUAACCUAUGAUUCAAGAUAAUAUGUAGGAUAUAAACUUACAUUAUUCUUUUUUUGGUAUAUUAUAUCAACCACAAUAAUACAGGCCCAUCAAUAAUAUGUAUGAUAUAUUUCGAUUAUCCCAAACCUAAAAGAUAACUAGAUUUUAUGCAUUGUGCAUUUUAUGUUGUAAUUAAAAAUUUCGUUUUUUACUUCUAACUUAUAUAAUUUAUUCAUUUAUGCGACCUCAAUUUUGAGUUCUAGUAUUUUUGUGAUUUUAUUGUGUUCGUGUCGAUUGAGUCAAAAAUGCUUAAUGUCGCAUUCAUUUGAAAAGGAAUAGUUGCUUGGAAAUAAAAAAACACGAAAACUAAUAAAGUAAUAUACCCUAUUACUCUGGUAAUUAUUUUAAAAAUAUAACAGAAAAUUUGAAAAGAAAAUUACCAAAAUGAACAAGGGAAAACAGUUUAAAAUACACAACUUACUGAACAAGUAAAGAAAUCCGCCGCGCAUUCAAGCUUGGAUCCGUAAUUAUUACAAAAAUAAGCUGAACGAAAAUAACAAAAGGAUUCACUUAAAACUAAACUAAAGCCAAAAAUGGCUUUAACAAUUAAAGUUAGACGCAACAAGUUAUAAAACAGGAAUUGUAUGAAAUCACGAAACUUAAAAAAAAUUAAUAUUAAUUGAUGAUCCACAAUAAUUAUCCACAAUAACCAUCAUUUUUGAAAAGGCAGGGUGCACGGGUCUUUUACGUUCGUUUUAUAAAAACCAAGGGAAUUAUUCACUGGAUUCCUUAAACAUGAUAUUGAAGUAAUACCCACUACUGUUAUAUUACACAUAAAAUACAAAAAAGCUGAAACUUGGUAAUCUGCACGUCAAUUACAUUUUAAUCACCAAGAUCCUUAAAACUCCUCAACAAUAUACGUUGGGGUUUUCCCACUUAGCCGAAAUAUUGACUGGCGAAAUUAUGAAUACAAAUUUUGAAUGAAAUUAUCAAAAUUGCUCGUGCCAAUAAUCUUGACAGAGAAAGAUACAAUCAUAAGAUCAUUUAAAUUUUUAAGAAAUCGGAAGUAUGUAGCAUGAAGGGGACCCCAACCGUAUUAACAUUCAACUACAAAAUUUAAAACAAAUUCAAUAUAAAGUACUGAAAAUUUGUAAACGAUCUUACAAAUGUUUUUAAAUGAAAAUAACGAAGGUCCUGAAAUAUCUUCGACUACUUAUCAUAAAGCAUAACAGCAGCUGAAAAUAGCGUGCUUAGCUUAUUUACAAAGUUGGAUUAAAUUCUUCUCAUUCGCUGGAUUAAAUUCAGCUUCUGCAAUAAUCACACCACCUGCGAAAUGUAAACCAGUUAUAAACUCAGCAAUUAAAACACUCUGAUCUAACUCGCGUAAGGCUUUUCUCUUUAAAAACUAAUGCUAUUCAAAAUUGGACAACGAUUUGUUUCUUCAUAAAUAACAUUUAAAAUGAGUUUCGCAUUGGGACAUGAGUCUUCAGAUAAAUUAUUGAUGAAUUACCGAUGGCAAUAUAUUCAACAUAAUUAUACCACACUUAUUUUUCGUAAUUUGGUGCAUACUACCUCAAUUUCGUUGAUGUAUGUACAAAUACAAUGAUUGAAAAAUUUGGAAUGCUUAAAAAGCUAGCUUAUGAAGUUAUUAUGCUAUUUUGUAGUUUUACUAAAAAUGCAAAUGGGAAACUUGCUUCUUAAAAUAUCGGUUGAAGAAUAAAAAUGCCCCAUUGAAUGUUGCUAGAAAUAUAAAACAAUUAUGAGUGUUAAUUUACAUGUUCUGUUUUCACUCACAUAAACCGUAUAUCUACCGUCUAUAUCUAACUUAAUGGACAUAUGGUAGUUUGUUUCUGCUCAAAUACUUUCCUCUUUGCACGGCAUUUUUAAAGUUAGAGUUCCAACAAAUGACUACGCUGUAUUAACAAUAAUAGCAAUAAUAGCAAUAUUGCUGAUUUUCAUAUUAUCCCAAAACCUUAAAAAUGGUAAUAUCAUCUUAUAUUUUACUUCACACGCACAGACACACCAUAAUUCCUCUCCACUUGAUAACAAUGUCCCAUACCAUUCUACUGGUUUUUGUCACUAUGAUUUGUAUUAAAUAGUCCUCCUUUGAUACAUUAAAUAGACUUUGGUUCUUCGCUGGAUUUUAUGCAUACGAAAGGAACAUGAAAUAACAAAAACGCAUUUGUUAAAAUAAUAUAUUAUAUUAUUAUUCAAAAGAUUCCCAACAAAUACAUAAGGAAAUGUAAGAAAAUCCUUAAAUGCACCACUAUAUUGGCCAAGACAAAUCAACACUACGGACAUAACCAAUUUUCUGGCGAACUGCAAGUGCCCUCUGCACACUAUUUCACCUAAUAUAUAAUAUGCUCUACUCAAUCAAGCUUUUACUCAUCUUUGCAAAUUUGUGUACUUCACUACUACAAACAUUUGCAUUCGACCAAAAUGAUCGCAACUUAAAGAUUUUUCAUAACUCGUCCAUGAAUGAGAUGAGUUGAAAUGCAUAUUACGGAAAUACAACCACGGAUGAAUAUGUACAAACAUAAUUAUGUAGUUAUGUUGUCCUAACUAAAAAUAAUUAAGUUAUUGUUUUCUAAAACAUACAUACCAAAAUUGGUAAAAGAGAUUUGUUCAUACUGCGUCGAAUCCCUAACUAUCAUGAAAUAAAUGGCUUUCAAAAAUCUGUCUUGCACUGAAAUGAAGGAAACAACUAAUACAUUAAAGCUUCACUAGUAUAUUUAAAAUUACCAGAUUGGAAGACUUUCAAAAUUUUGUUUAUUAAUUCCAUCGCUAUCCUUGAUUUUUGUGUUUUUGCCCUUUCAUUAUUGUUGCUUAUCCUUGUACUUGUAAUUUCUGAUUUUAUUGUUGUUCUGGUAUUGUAUGGAUGUGGGUUUCGGUCGUAUUAUAUGGAUAUUUAAUAGCACGAGUCUAUUCCAAAUAUUGAAUCUUACUUAUAUCUUGUUUGAUCUUCACUUUUUACUUAACAUAUUUGGCCUAAAACCAACUUUAUUGGUAUUUCUGCGGAAUUUAUAAUUCAUGAUUUGGAUUUAAGGGAACCGCAUCCCCCAAAUACUUUGAAAAUCCCUUCCUUUUCGUACGUACAAAAAAGCAUCAGGUUUUCGGGUGAGGUUUCUGAUGCUUUGUCUCUUAAGUUUUUCCUAACAAUUAAACCCUAUGUCGGUAUUACGAAUACCAUCAAAAAACCUCACCCACCAAAUGUAUGACCAGAGAGAUAAAAAUUUCAAUAAACAACGUGGCAGUCUUGACCAAUUCAAUGACUUCUACGAUGAUUACGCAACCUACCGAAGAAAGGAUGUGACCAGUGCUUCUACAAGGAUGUCGAUGAGAAGGAUGCUUUAACUACGCCCUAAAAUAUUGAAGUUGGCUCCUUCAAACCAUGGGACUGCGAACUCGACUGAAAUAAAAAUAUGUUAACAACAAAACUUGAAUGUGUUUUUUUUACUAUAAUUUUACUAUAUUAUUUCACUUAAUAUUUGCAGUUACUUGUAAGGCAUUACAGAUACGGCGGUGUACAUUUCCACGCAUGUGCAUAUAUUUUUGUGAUGCCAUAGUUUCCAAUCCUUCAUUGGCUUUCAAUCAAAUCAACAGCCAUCUGCAAAACUUUAGAUGCCUAGCGAUCUUUUAAUCCGAUCCAGCCAAUCCAAAAGAGGCAACUCCGAAAAUAAAUAGAACACAAAUGUAAUUCAGAUACGUAGAGACUCCCCAGACUCCAACAACCAUCCACCAAAGAAAGUUUCCACCCACAGAACUUAUCGAAUAUCGUCGUUGUGGCCACGAAAUCCAUAAGAUUUGGAAGUUCCACCGUUUUCUGAAGCUAAGCUCUACGAACGCCAAAACUAUAGGCCUAUGAUCAUUCCGACUGUCUAAUGGAGUCUGUGGCACUUGAUUCUCCACAUGGCGUUGAUUGUUUGGACGGUUCGAUAAGUCGUGGAGAUCUUUAGCGAUGUAUUACAAAGUGCAUAGCGGCCCGCAGCAACUUGAACCGCAUACCGUCGUUUCGAAGUAAUAUGCUUCGCAGGAUUUCGAUGGCAGAACGAUGUGUCAGCAACAAGGAUAUAGCCAGGAACCUGUCAUUAAACCUACAGUACAACGCUGUCAUUUUAACCUAACGUCCUGGCUGAACGGAGACAAAUUCAUCCUGCGCAAGCUGGAAAUUUUAGGUUCUGCAGUCUACAUUAAUUGCAUUAUG
Drosophila melanogaster (fruit fly) is the source of this 21216-nucleotide non-coding RNA. The record is from Ensembl. Lineage: Eukaryota; Metazoa; Arthropoda; Insecta; Diptera; Drosophilidae.